This 585-nucleotide ribosomal RNA is filed under the name uncultured bacterium. Its description in RNAcentral is "partial 16S ribosomal RNA". It matches the Rfam family "Bacterial small subunit ribosomal RNA", at positions 355 to 1375 of the family's 1533-position model. The record is from RNAcentral.
UGGGGAAUUUUGGACAAUGGGCGAAAGCCUGAUCCAGCAAUGCCGCGUGUGUGAAGAAGGCCUUCGGGUUGUAAAGCACUUUUGUCCGGAAAGAAAUCCUUGGCUCUAAUACAGUCGGGGGAUGACGGUACCGGAAGAAUAAGCACCGGCUAACUACGUGCCAGCAGCCGCGGUAAUACGUAGGGUGCAAGCGUUAAUCGGAAUUACUGGGCGUAAAGCGUGCGCAGGCGGUUUGCUAAGACCGAUGUGAAAUCCCCGGGCUCAACCUGGGAACUGCAUUGGUGACUGGCAGGCUAGAGUAUGGCAGAGGGGGGUAGAAUUCCACGUGUAGUAGUGAAAUGCGUAGAGAUGUGGAGGAAUACCGAUGGCGAAGGCAGCCCCCUGGGCCAAUACUGACGCUCAUGCACGAAAGCGUGGGGAGCAAACAGGAUUAGAUACCCUGGUAGUCCACGCCCUAAACGAUGUCAACUAGUUGUUGGGGACUUCAUUUCCUUAGUAACGUAGCUAACGCGUGAAGUUGACCGCCUGGGGAGUACGGUCGCAAGAUUAAAACUCAAUGAAUUGACGGGGUCAUAGCUGUUUCCU